AGUCCGCGUCAUCUCUACUUUAUUGCAUUAUUAGUUGCUUUUAUUAUUGAUCGAGUCAAUUGGUUAGUUGCUUUUGUUAUUGGUCGAGUCAGUUUGGUUAGUUGCUUUUGUUUUAGUCAAGUCAAUUGGGUUAACUGUUGAGUCGUGUAAUUGGGUCGAGUGAUUAGAUCGAUUUUGGUAUGUAAUCAAUCGGUUGACUUAGUCAACGGAUUGAGAUCCACUUUUGGUAUAUUGUCAAUUGUUUGACCUGAUGUAAGGCCUAUAUAAAGACCAUCCCUCUCAUGAAUUAGGGCAAUUGAAUGAUUGAAUGAAAACCUAACCUCCUUUCUUCUUCUUCUUCAUCCUCUUCUCUUCUUCUUGCGUCUCUAUAACCUCUUUUUCCUCCUCCUUCCCUUCUUCUUUCUCUUUNNNNNNNNNNNNNNNNNNNNCUUCUUCUUGCGUCUCUAUAACCUCUUUUUCCUCCUCCUUCCCUUCUUCUUUCUCUUUCUCUCUUCUUCCUGCAGUGGUUCGCCAUCAGCUUGGUAUCAGAGCAGGCCGGCUUUGCCCCUGCUGUCAAAGCCACGAUCCAGUUUCUUUUCUUCUCCUCUCUCUCUCUCUCUCAACCCUCACACGAAGAAAAAGAGGAAAAAAGCCCCUCAUCUGUUGCCAAAGGAGAAGACCCCCGUUUGUUCCCUCCCUCCUGUGCCAGCACCCCACCGCCACUGAAGCCUUCCCUCUCACCUCGUUCCUCCCCCUCUCGGUUUUCACCAUAUAUAAAAAAAAAAUAUUCCUCCUCUGUUGGAACCCUUUUCCCUCCUCUGUUGGAACUGAGAGGGAGAGCCCCCCCCUUUCCCAUGUCCGAGGCCGCCGCACAGCAUCUAUGGCCACCACCAUAGGAAGAUCUCCCCCACCUCUGCAUCGAGCCGCCUCCCCACCGCCGAAUUUCGCUAACGAGCAGACCACCCGCAGUGCCACCCCACCUCCACCUUCACCGCCGGAAGCCGCCUUCGGCCGCCGCCAUGACCGGCCACCCCUCUUCUGCAACCGCCCGUCGCUGCAAAGCCCCGCCGCAGCCCAUCCUCGCAAUUGCCGCCGCGAGGAGCGGCUCGCCCUCUCGAACCGUUGGGAGGUUGAAGAAGGCUAAGGUACUGGGUAAGUGCUAAAACCCGUUAACCCUCAACCCGUUAGCCCAGAUCCGAAAAAAAAGAAAGAGAGAAAAUACCUGUUCAUCUUCUUUCCCGAUCUUCUCCCUCACGUUGCGGAACCGCCCUCUCCCUCAAGGUCGUCCGCAUUGCCCUCGUCACCACGCCGCAGCUGCCGCACCACGACGUCCUCCGCCGCAGUACCUCCGCUGCCGAACGCCGAUGCCCAAGCAGUCGACGCCC
This 1364-nucleotide long non-coding RNA is filed under the name Phoenix dactylifera (date palm). RNAcentral's name for it is "long non-coding RNA (PDAC_LNC006776)". Lineage: Eukaryota; Viridiplantae; Streptophyta; Magnoliopsida; Arecales; Arecaceae. The record is from RNAcentral.